AGGUAGGAGAAUUUUCCAGUACCUGGUACUGUGGUAGGAUUUUCUUUUUUAUUAUUAUUAUCUAACAUUUUAAAAGUUUUUGUUUAGGGUCUGCCUACCACCAUGGGAAGAUAAGCUUAAUGAAGAAUUCAAAAGGCUGUAUGCACUGCUGUGGAAUUCUAAAGGAUAACAAUGGAGGUGAAGCCUGACCCUGGAAACCCGUCAAGAUUCCCAGAGAUAAACCCUUAGGCAGCAAGAACACUGUCAAUGAAAAGAAACUGACCUUUCUUCUCCUGAGUCACAAAAUUCCCACAAAUGCUGUGUCCCUGGUUGGCUCUGGCAGGACUCACCACCACAGCCCAGACCCCGACGCCACUUCGUAAACAGCGGGGAGGGCACUGCUGGAGCCUUGAGGAAGUUCGGUGCUAGAAGCAUUGUGAGAGCAUCAGCAACUCUGGCACCUCAGAACUCAGAAUGCCUCUCUUUUUCUCUCAAGCUCAUACAGUUAGGAGAGAGCCCUUUAAAUGGUUUUCCUCUGGCAGCAUGGUCUGCUGCUCCUGAGGGACCUCACGGGAGCCUUAAUUGACACAUAAGGGGUCAAAAACCUGCCAAGAGCCUCUGGAAGGACUGUGGUGCCCUCAGAACACGAAGCAGGAAAUCUCAGGGCUCAGAGAAUAGAGGACUUGGUGGGGCAAAGAGGAAUGGAACCAGAGGAGGGAAGAGGGAAGUACUACGGUUUGUCCCCACCAAAACUGAUUUGGGAGUUUAAUCCCACUGAGAGAGACGUAUUGAAGGGUAAAAACUUAAUCUCACCGUGGCAUUUAGAAGUCAGGUCUUCAGGAGGUAACUAGGGUUAGAUAAAAUCAUCAGGUGGAACCUCACAGUUCAAUCUGAUGGUUUUCUAAGAACAGCAAUACUUCAGAUGGUAUGCUCGUACACACGCUGCCUGCCUCAUUACCUGGCCUCAGGUAAUGAGGCCAUGCCUGGACACAGCCUCACAGUCUUCAACUAGAACUGUGAGCCAGAUCAAACAUCUUUUGUGUUAUGAGCAACAAAAAAUGGGUUACUGCAAAAAGAGCUGCACUGAUAAUAUUAAGAACAGCUAAAUAGAAGCUAGAAACCCACUGAAUAUCUUGCUUAUGGUCCAAAUUGAAUCUCUUUAAACUUGAAUUUCCUCAGAAAAAGAGGGAGAGAAAGAGAGACUAUGAAUACUGUAAACUAGGACGUUUUUCUCUGACAACUGCUUUGCUUUACAACCCAGAAAACCAUGAAAUGCCACGUAAGUCUCUCAAACAAUGAUUCUGAACCUUGGCUAUACAUAAAAUCACUUGGAGGAGCUCUAGACAAUGUUAAUGCAUGAGUCCCAUCCUCAGUUAUUGAUAGAAUUGGUGUGGAUGACUCCAGGACAUGAGGAUUUCUCUCUCAUUUUAUGAAUUCUCCUGUCAACUUCCAACCUAAAAUGUAUUUUGUAAAGUUCUGUCUGUAACCCUCACAUUCUUUGUAUUUCUCUUCCUACUUUAUUAGCUAUGACUUCUUUGGGAGAAGCGAUUCAUGCAAACAUCUUUCUUUUGUCCAUGUAUACCUGGGACCAAUUUAUAUUUGGUCCCAGAUUUAAUAUCUAGUCUCCAAAGCUUCUCUGUGUGUUGGCUUCCCUCUUUAUUUAUUGAUGUAUCUUCCAUUAUUUUGUUACCAAGGCUCAAAACCUUAGUGUUUCUUCAUAUGAUGAAUUUUUAAAUGUAUUGCUAGUGUUCCUACUCUUCCUUCUGCUCAUCCAUAAAGAGAAUACUGUCUUUGUUGGCUGGCCAAGCUUGCCUUCCUAAGAAAAUUCUGCUUAGCCAGGAUUGGUGGUGUCCCAGCUUUCAGAAAGCUGAGGCAGGAGAAUUACCUUGAGUUUGAGGCAAGCCUGGACCACAAAGUGAGUUCAAGGAUAGCCUGAACUACAGAGUGAAACCCUGUCCCAACAAACAAACAAAUUCACAGAAUUCUGCCUAAAUCAGGACAAUUGUUAGGCUUCAUGAAAGAAAGUUUAAGAAUUGUUCCUAAUGCUUAAGACAUGUAUGCCUUUUGAUGUUCUCAGGGGAUGGCAAGAAAAUUUAUGAAUUAGUUUCAAAAUAGUUCAGAUGUUAGACUGGACAUUAGUUCUUUGUUGUUUUGAGACUGAGCCAUGUGCGUGGUCAGUUAAUAUUUGCAUUAGACUCAACAUCAUCUUUCUCAUUUGCUAUUUAAAAAUAUUCCUAAAUGUCAUGAAUUCGAUUCCAGUACCAAAAAAAAAAAAAAAAUUUGCUAAAUCCUGUGAUUUUUUUGCCCUCUAGCCAUAUCACUCUCUACUGUCCAGCAACUUCAUAUUCUCCAGCUAGACUACCUACUUUUAUACAAAGCAUAUCUCAAAGUUUUUCCUUUGGACUUGGCUCAUUCCAUUUCCUACAUCCAGAAUCACUGCUCAUUUCCAUCAUCUGAAAUUCUCUCUAUGAUUCCGAGCCCAGUACACAUAAAGUGAUUUACUGCACUUUGGUUUAUAUUCUCAUUCAGUUUGUUCUAACAUCUCUUUGCUACUAAAGCAAAGAGCAAUAUAGUUAGGCACUAACAGUUUUCAGGUGAAUAAAAAUAUUAUUCGAUUUGAUAAAUAUGUAAAUCAAUUAUUUUAAUUCCAUAAAAUACAUAAAUAACUUUAAAGAUAGAAACAUGCUUUUAGAUUUAAAUGCAGAUAUCUACUUUGAGCCAGGAUGGAGAACCAGAUUGCUUACUUUCUUACCUGAAAUAAUAAAAAAAAAAUUGACAGAAUAUAUUAAACAACAGUUUGAAAGUCUUUUCUAUGAUAUUCCACAUAUUCUACAUCCCUUCCUGCCCUUGCCUGUGAACAUCCUUCCAUAGCAAGGAUGAUGAUGAUAAUUCUAAUAGCUAAAAUUUAUAUCGUGCGUACUGUGUCCAGGGACUGUUUUAAGUGUUUUGCUUACAUCAUUUUAUUUAGUUAUUGCAACAACCCCUGGAGGUAGUACUGUAGAAGGCUAGGACAGGAAGGUCAAGACAUUUUCUCAAAGUUACCCAGUUAUAACUGUCACAGAUAAGAGUUGAAUCCAGGCUCUAGAAUCUGGAUAGGACACUUAAACUUUAACGGCUUGAUACAUGCCUAAAAUAUCCUCAUCGUUCUGUGUCUACAAGAAGUUUCCAUUUGUUAUUGCUUCACAUUUUGUACCUCCCCCUGCUCAGCACUAUCAAAUAAAUAUGUGCUUCCCUGUUGUCAGAUUUCAACGGGUCUCACUGGCACUCAAGCGGAAGGCAUCAGCACACGCACAAUUCGGAUUUUGACUUAGAGAGAUCCACUUUAGAUUCAAGUCUUCAGGGACACUUAGCCUAAGAGCAGGGAACAUAUGUUUAUAAAUUUUACCUUUGAGUUUCAUCUUUUUCCUCAUAAUGUCUUUGACGUGUCAUCUGUAAAGCAAACCACAGAAUAGCUAUACUUGAGUGAGGCAAAGAUUUAAUGCUGCUGCUCUGGUUCAAGUGGCUAUACCUAGAACUGUCUGUGUGUUAGCAGUCAUUGAGAAGUACACAUAAAGUGAUUUACUGCACUUUGGUUUAUAUUCUCAUUCAGUUUGUUCUAACAUCUCUUUGCUACUAAAGCAAAGAGCAAUAUAGUUAGGCACUAACAGUUUUCAGGUGAAUAAAAAUAUUAUUCGAUUUGAUAAAUAUGUAAAUCAAUUAUUUUAAUUCCAUAAAAUACAUAAAUAACUUUAAAGAUAGAAAUAUGCUUUUAAAUUUAAAUGCAGACAUCUACUUUGAGCCAGGAUGGAGUACCAGAUUGCUUACUUUCUUACCUGAAAUAAUAAAAAAAAAAUUGACAGAAUAUAUUAAACAACAGUUUGAAAGACACUGGAUAACAGAAGAACAGUGAUAGCUGAGAGAUAUGAAACAAAUGAAGUAAGUACUACAGUUUCCCCAGAGAAUUUCCAGGCCACAGCACAAGGAAAAGUAACUCAGGCAAACCCCAUGAGUUGAGAAUCUGAUGAGACCAAGGCAGCUGGAGUACAGGAAAGAACAGAUCAGCACAGAAACAGGAGGUUUUAGAGGUUUUCAAAGAGGGCAUGGUGACUCACACCUGUGAUCUUAGCACUCAGCGGGCUGAGAUUGGAACACUGUUGGGAAUUCAAGGCCAGCCGAACUACAUAGCAAAACGCUGUAUCAAAAAAAAAAAAAAAAAAAGAGUUCAUCUGAGGACUGGUCAGUACAUACAUAUAAGGAAACCAUCAGAGACAAGAAAGAAUUGCCUAAAAUUAUUAGAGAUGAUAGACAUUCAUACAGGCUGGGAAGAGUGUCUAUUCCCAUUUGCCAGAGUUGGAAAAUUCAAGAUUCAUGAUACACAGCAAGGUAUGACUUAAUAAGUGAGCACUAAUUAAUCCUAGACUGAAUACUGCUCUAGUUCUGCCUAAUAAAUCUUAAAAAUAAGACCCAAAAUGUACAAACUAUUUUCAAGUGAUUUAACCAAAUCACUUACAACAAAGCUUCAGAAUAUUUUUAGGAACACAGUAAUAUCCAGCACCCAGCACUCAAUAAUAUGAAACUCAAAUGCUUAGAAUCAAAUUAUCAGACAUCAAAAAAGCACAAAAGGCAUUGCCAUGGCAGCACACAUCUGUUAUCCUAGCUAUCUGAGAGACUGAGGAACAAGGAACAAAAGUUUGAGCCCAACCUGGACAACUUAGUGACUUCAUAAGAUCCUGUCUCAAAGUUGAUGGAGAUACAGGUCAGCGCGAAGCUCUUGGACUCAGUCCUCAGUAACAUACACAGAGAGAGAGCAGUAAAAUACAAUCUAUAGCUAGGAGAUAAAGUCCUUGAAAUUGAUAGAUUUGGCAAAGAAGAUCUUUAAAAAGUUACCAUAACUUUUACAUACGUUCUAAAAUUUAAGUAGGGACAUAAAAGAUCUAUAUACACAUUUAAAUAUCUUUUUUUUUCUAAUUACAUGGUUAGAAAGAGCAUAUUUGAAAAAUGAACUUUUCUAGAGGGACAAUAUUUCUUUUCCCAAAUAUUUUGGCAUUAUGUUAAUAGACUUCUUGUUUAUUAUAUUUUUGCUUUAUGUCCUGUUUUGUGAUUAUUUUUUUAUUGUGCUAAAAAUACAUAAAAGUUGCCAUCCCAACCAUUUCUAGCUGCACAAUUCAGUAGUGCUAAAUAUACUCUACAUAUAUUGUUUUGCAACCACUUUCCAGGACUUUUCCAUCUUGCAUAACUUGCAUUAUACAACUUUCCAUUCCCUUCUCUCCUCGAUGCUGGAAACUACCAUUCUCCUUUCUAUUUCUAGGAAUUCAAUUUCUGUAUAUUGCAUAUAAGUGCAGCCCUGUAAUAUUUGUCUUUUUAUGGCUGGCUUAGUUCAUUGAGUGUAACAUCCUCAAGGUUCAUGCAUGUUACAGCGGUGACAGACUGCCCUUUUAUUUUAAAGCCAGAUAAUAUUCCAUCAUACAUACAGACUGGCCACAUUCUGCCAGCGGAUAGCUGGGCUGCUUCCACCUCUUGCCUAUUCUGAAUAGUGCUGCUACAAAUAAGGGAAUCUGUGAGACAUUCUUUUUACACUGGUACCUCAGGACUUUAAUUGGUUCCAAGAGACAUGCCAAGUUCUAUCUUGCACAUCAAGAACCAAGCAAGCAGUGAGCAUCUGAACAAUGUUUUCUUCUGAAAAUAUGUCAAUUACCAAAUUUGAUUAUUUUCAAAGCAGUCAAAUACUGAAGUAUAACUGGAGUUCUUUUAGAUCUAUAUCCUAGAGUGAAAUUUCUGUGCUAUAUGGUAAUUCUACUUUUUUGAAGAAUCACAAUAUUAUUUUCCAUAGUGGCUUGUUUUGAUUUUUCUUUCUUUCUUUCUUUCUUUUUUUUUUUUUUUAAGAGACAGGGUCUCACUAUAUUGCCCAGGCUGGAGUGCAGUGGCUAUUCACAGGCGCGAUCCCACUACUGAUUAGCACGGGUGUUUUGACCUGCUCCGUUUCCGACCUGGGCCGGUUCACCCCACCUUAGGCAACCUGGUGGUUCCCCGCUCCCGGGAGGUCACCAUAUUGAUGCCAAAUUUGGUGGGGACACCCAAUCGCAUAGCACACUACAGCCCAGAACUCCUGGACUCAGUGAUCCUCCCACCUCAUCCUCCCGAGUAGCUGGGACUAUAGGCUCGCGCCACCACGCCCGGCUGUUUUGAGUUUUCAAUCAGGUUUAUUGGUACUUUAGAAAUACAUAAUGAUCACUUUCAUCAUAGAGAAUUUGUAUCUGUACACGAUAUAACUUGAUUCUUUUUGCCCGAUCUCCCUAUCCUCCCUUCAAUCUCUCUUCCUCUUCUUAUUUACAAAAGCUUUGUUUCUAUUUUUCCUUUUUUUCUCAUUUUUUAAAACUUUUCCCUUCUUUCCUUUCCCCCUCCUCCCUCACUUGUCCCCAUCCCUGUUUAAACAACAGGAAGAAAAUGUUCAUUUGUUUACUUUUUAUAGCAUUCAUCCUAAUGGGUAUGCUGUGAUACUCGUGGUUUUGAUUUGUAUUUCCCCAGUGAUUCAUGAUGCUACCAUGUUUCUAUAUGCUAGUUGGGCAUCCAUGUAACAUCUAUGGAAAUAUGUCCAUUAGACUCUUUUGCUCAUUUUUUUUUUUCAUGUUAUGAUGCUAUACACUGGAUCCAGGGUCUUGUAAAUACCAAGUAUGCACUCUACCACAGUGUACAUUCCCUUUCCCUCUUAUUCCCAUUUUUAA
Molecule: long non-coding RNA, 6680 nt
Organism: Cavia porcellus (domestic guinea pig)
Lineage: Eukaryota; Metazoa; Chordata; Mammalia; Rodentia; Caviidae
Exons: 3
Source: RefSeq, a predicted model, not a curated record